This 1363-nucleotide long non-coding RNA is filed under the name Ananas comosus (pineapple). RNAcentral's name for it is "long non-coding RNA (ACOM_LNC039044)". The record is from RNAcentral. Lineage: Eukaryota; Viridiplantae; Streptophyta; Magnoliopsida; Poales; Bromeliaceae.
UUGAGUUAAGGAUAUGAUCAUACUUGCUGUUGAGUUCCGUGCUCGAGGGCGGUCGCUCCCCCUCGGGCGAUGCGCUCCGGAGUUAUGCAUCCGGGUUGGAGUAGACCCGUAAGGACGGUCCUAGCUGGUGAGUACCUGCGAUGAUGGACUUAACGUGAGGCAAGUUAAUGUGGCGAAACCCCCGGGUUAGCCUUAAUGAUUAAAGAGCAAAGAACAAAGAAUAAAGAACAAAGAGUAAAGUGAAAAGAACUAAAGAACAUGCAUAAUCUGCAUCUAUUAAUGUUGAGCAUAUUCCUUGCUUUUGUUCAGGCAUAUUAGCAUCAUGUUAUAGAUUGGUUACUAUAUUUCAGCUUAUCCUUUCUAUUAUGCUUGAGUUAGUCCUAGUGGGAAAGUCGGUGAUGUUGGGGCCGAACCCACUGGGAACUUUGUUGUAGUUCUCACCCCACUAUUCCACAGAGCCGGGACCGAGCGAGCCGGCGAGCGACCGCGGUAAAGGUAUCGCACCGUAGUCAGAGGCCACCGGAGUUGGGUUACAUUUUGUUAGUAGUUUACCCCUUUUAUCAUCUUUGUAUUUGAUGAUCUAAGAUGUUGAUGUGUUAAGCAAAGUAAAGAAAAGAAUGUAAUGUUCAUUUUGAGGUAAAUGUGAUGUAAAAGAAAUGAUGAAAGAAUGUAAAGAUUUUGGAUGUACAAGUUGGAUAGAUACAACGUAUGUGAUCAAAAUGAAUCAUAGUACUAGUUGAAUGUUUAGUUUUCCUUUCUUUCACUAAUGGCUAUUGCUUACCCUCGUGUAAGCCGUUUGUGCAUGUUUCCGCUAGUGCAUUUCAAUUCUCUUGAAAUUGUACACGUGAUGAGCCUUGGGCGGAUAGGGGAAACUCUGUCCGUUCGGCGUCUGUUCGACGUGCUCGGGCCGGCCCAAAUUGGUAUCGGCUCCGGGGCGUGACAGGUACGCGGGCAGGAGUACCGGUACUCGGCAACAAAUCCUGCGCAACCCGAGCCUCUGCCAGGCAGUUUAUAUCACGACAUACCGGUAUGUAGGCAAUGCAGUACCGGUACCCGGCAGCCCGCAGCUCAAACCCGAGAGCAGCUUCUCUCGGUUACGCACAGGUGUUCCGGUACCUCACCCUGGUACCAGUACUCGGCACUCCAAAACCUGAAUUUUCAGAUUUUGGUGCUAAGUACUACUUCUCGCGUUCUCGCAACAUGAGUAAUGGGUCGGUACUCAGUCAAUGACCUACAAAAACACCAGGGAUAGCUCAAAAUGCUAUUCAAACACUGGAACUUUGCAAUUUGCUAAAGUUCAGUGUGUUACACACUGGCAAGCGAUAGCAGAGACAGUAGCCUAGAUGUUGCCGACAUAUAUGUG